GUGAAUCGGCAGUUAAAUUUGUGAUGACCAGGGGUCACAUGUGAAGUGUCAUGAUGUGUUGAUAAGCCAAACUCCACCUCAUCAGGGACUGGGACUUAAUUUGAAUGACUCCCAUGACUGGUCUGUGACAAAAGAAUCAUUUGAUAUGUACUUGGCAUAACUAUUUAUCAUGCAAAAUCUUUUGCAGGAGACAUGCUCAUUCUGCUCUACAGAAAAGAGUCCAAAACCAGAGGCAGAAACAGCUGAGAUGGAGACUGCAGAGGCAGUUGAAGUAGCAAAAACGAAGGUGGAGGUUGUUGCAGAUACAUCAGAUGCAGAGGAAAAGGAGAAGGAGGAGGCAUCGAAAAAAAGGGUAUAUAAUAUUAUGAUACUGUUCUUUAUAUUCUAUCUAUACAUGUAAGGUGGAUAAGAUGGACUGAUUGUUAACUUGCUGGCACACAUAUACAAAGUUUGGCUCAAAUAAGAUAUUUUGUAAUCCGAGUGAGUAUAGAAAGGGCAGACUACACUAUACUAUUUAUACUUUAUGUGGUGUUAUAUGGACCUGUGUCUGCAAUGAAGCUUUAUUAUUAUGUAUAUGCACGAUUCCACGUCUCAUUCCUGUAGUAUUAAUCAUCUCUAGUAUCUGCAUUUAAAAAGAGCAUGGGACUUAUGUACAAAGCUUGCGUACACAAAGCAGCUGCGCACACCUCUUCUCAUGCACACAUACAGAUGUACAAAGGCUACUUGAACGUGAGUGUGCAGUCAUGUGAUACAGGCCGUCUCUGUUUUCAAUGCCUAAUGAAGAUCCGAU
Long non-coding RNA from Carassius carassius (crucian carp), 790 nucleotides. RefSeq lists it as uncharacterized. The record is from RefSeq and is a predicted model, not a curated record. NCBI's taxonomy places the organism in Eukaryota, Metazoa, Chordata, Actinopteri, Cypriniformes, Cyprinidae. The transcript has 4 exons.